CCUACGGGUGGCAGCAGUGAGGAAUAUUGGUCAAUGGACGCGAGCCUGAACCAGCCAAGUAGCGUGAAGGAUGACUGUCCUAUGGAUUGUAAACUUCUUUUAUAUGGGAAUAAAACAGGCUACGCGUACCCUUCCGUGUGUACCCUAUGAAAAAGCAUCGGCUAACUCCGUGCCAGCAGCCGCGGUAAUACGGAGGAUCCGAGCGUUAUCCGGAUUUAUUGGGGUUAAAGGGGGCGCAGGCGGAAUGUUAAGUCAACUGGUAAAUUUUGCGGCUCAACCGUAUCAGAGCAGUUGAAACUGGCAUUCUUGAGUGAGGUAGAAGUAGGCGGAAUGCGUGGUGUAGCGGUGAAAUGCAUAGAUAUCACGAAGAACUCCGAUUGCGAAGGCAGCACACCGGAGUGCAACUGACGCUGAUGCACGAAAGUGUGGGUAUCGAACAGGAUUAGAUACCCCUGUAGUC
Molecule: ribosomal RNA, 460 nt
Filed under: uncultured bacterium
Lineage: Bacteria
Description: partial 16S ribosomal RNA
Rfam family: Bacterial small subunit ribosomal RNA
Source: RNAcentral